Molecule: transfer RNA, 81 nt
Filed under: Microcebus tanosi (Anosy mouse lemur)
Lineage: Eukaryota; Metazoa; Chordata; Mammalia; Primates; Cheirogaleidae
Description: tRNA-Tyr
Rfam family: tRNA (bases 17-81)
About the family: Transfer RNA (tRNA) molecules are approximately 80 nucleotides in length. Their secondary structure includes four short double-helical elements and three loops (D, anti-codon, and T loops).
Source: RNAcentral
AACAUAAGUAUAAGGAGGUAAAAUGGCUGAGUAAGCAUUAGACUGUAAAUCUAAAGACAGAGGUUGAACCCUCUUUUUACC